RNAcentral lists this ribosomal RNA (720 nucleotides) under uncultured Lachnospiraceae bacterium. RNAcentral's name for it is "bacterial SSU rRNA". It matches the Rfam family "Bacterial small subunit ribosomal RNA", at positions 58 to 776 of the family's 1533-position model. Lineage: Bacteria; Bacillati; Bacillota; Clostridia; Lachnospirales; Lachnospiraceae. The record is from RNAcentral.
CAAGUCGAACGAAACACCUUAUUUGAUUUUCUUCGGAACUGAAGAUUUGGUGAUUGAGUGGCGGACGGGUGAGUAACGCGUGGGUAACCUGCCCUGUACAGGGGGAUAACAGUCAGAAAUGACUGCUAAUACCGCAUAAGACCACAGCACCGCAUGGUGCAGGGGUAAAAACUCCGGUGGUACAGGAUGGACCCGCGUCUGAUUAGCUGGUUGGUGAGGUAACGGCUCACCAAGGCGACGAUCAGUAGCCGGCUUGAGAGAGUGAACGGCCACAUUGGGACUGAGACACGGCCCAAACUCCUACGGGAGGCAGCAGUGGGGAAUAUUGCACAAUGGGGGAAACCCUGAUGCAGCGACGCCGCGUGAGUGAAGAAGUAUCUCGGUAUGUAAAGCUCUAUCAGCAGGGAAGAAAAUGACGGUACCUGACUAAGAAGCCCCGGCUAACUACGUGCCAGCAGCCGCGGUAAUACGUAGGGGGCAAGCGUUAUCCGGAAUUACUGGGUGUAAAGGGUGCGUAGGUGGUAUGGCAAGUCAGAAGUGAAAACCCAGGGCUUAACUCUGGGACUGCUUUUGAAACUGUCAGACUGGAGUGCAGGAGAGGUAAGCGGAAUUCCUAGUGUAGCGGUGAAAUGCGUAGAUAUUAGGAGGAACAUCAGUGGCGAAGGCGGCUUACUGGACUGAAACUGACACUGAGGCACGAAAGCGUGGGGAGCAAACAGG